RNAcentral lists this ribosomal RNA (450 nucleotides) under uncultured bacterium. Its description in RNAcentral is "partial 16S ribosomal RNA". It matches the Rfam family "Bacterial small subunit ribosomal RNA", at positions 354 to 796 of the family's 1533-position model. The record is from RNAcentral.
GUGGGGAAUUUUGGACAAUGGGCGCAAGCCUGAUCCAGCAAUGCCGCGUGCAGGAAGAAGGCCUUCGGGUUGUAAACUGCUUUUGUACGGAACGAAACGGUCCUGGUUAAUACCUGGGGCUAAUGACGGUACCGUAAGAAUAAGCACCGGCUAACUACGUGCCAGCAGCCGCGGUAAUACGUAGGGUGCGAGCGUUAAUCGGAAUUACUGGGCGUAAAGCGUGCGCAGGCGGUGCUGUAAGACAGGCGUGAAAUCCCCGGGCUCAACCUGGGAAUUGCGCUUGUGACGGCAGUGCUGGAGUACGGCAGAGGGGGAUGGAAUUCCGCGUGUAGCAGUGAAAUGCGUAGAUAUGCGGAGGAACACCGAUGGCGAAGGCAGUCCCCUGGGCCUGUACUGACGCUCAUGCACGAAAGCGUGGGGAGCAAACAGGAUUAGAUACCCCGGUAGUCC